This is a non-coding RNA of Camellia sinensis, 2288 nucleotides long. The record is from RefSeq and is a predicted model, not a curated record. Lineage: Eukaryota; Viridiplantae; Streptophyta; Magnoliopsida; Ericales; Theaceae.
UUGCACAUCUUUUCAUAAUUAGCCAAAAAGUCAUCCCAAACAUACAAGUUUUUUUACCUACCUUUUUAGCCAAAUAGCCAAAAAGUUACUAAAUUAGCCUGUUCCCAAACGAGGCCUUGCAAACCCCAAGGGGUUGGCCUGGUGGCAAGGCCUUGGAUCUUGGGAGUUUGCUCCUUCCAAGGUUUAGGGAUCGAAAUCUCUUAAGUGCUAACAAUUCCUUGGGGCCAUCAGAUUGGUGGAAAAUCUUUGAAUUAACUGUGGUGCACUUGCGAAAAACUCCUUGCCGAGGGCUUGUGCGCCGCUGGGGAUUGGUCGGGUUUUGAUCCGGACACUCCAAUGAUAAUAAAAAAAAAAAAAAAAUUGGCCUUCUUGCAACUUAAUCACAGUAUGAUUCCUUGCAUUGUAUUACUCCAGCCAUUGCAUAGGUCAUCAUAAGUAUUACCAAUACGAGUUGAGCUAGGCUUGUGAGCUUAUGAAAGUGUCACAAACCAAGCCUGAAUAUGCAUUGCUGUGCUCAUCGUGAACACAAUCUGAGGCCGAACAUACAUUAAACUGACUUAGCCAAGCUCAAACACCUUAGUGCUUGGCUCGGCUUGGCUCAUUUGCAGCAUUAAUCCUCUGACACAUCAUGCAGUUUUCUCUUCAUUGGGUUCAAGUUUGAUGCCCAAAGCUUAUCUUGACUCCAUUAUUUCUGCCCUUGAAAUCCUUUGGAUAAAAUAAACUUAAAAGGGAACAAAUGACAAAAUCCACAUUAUGUCAAAUUUGUAUAUUAUUUGCAUUUUUGUUCCACUAUUAUGUGUUUCUUUGUAAACAAUGCACAUCUUAUUCCUUCAAUGCGUAAAUACAUGAUAUGGUGUAUCUUCUACUAUGUCAGAAACUUAGAAACCCUAAACUAUCCAUAUUGCUGCACAUGCCUUAGUACUAUGGAUACUUUUUUUUUUUGAGCUAUGUUUGUGAGAGAGGAUUUUUGGAGGUUGUUUGAGGACUGUUCCUGCGUGACAUCCACAAUGGUGGAAUGGCCUUGCUCCUAUUGUCUACUUUUCCAUUUGCUAAGUGACACCCACAAUGGUGGAAUGGGCCAUAAGAACACCUUUCAACUGAGAAGUACAGGAGAAGGCCACCACCCAUAAAGGCUUAUAAGUGAAACGUAGAGAAUCAGAGAAUGAUGUGUAUUUUUUACCGUUCAAAUAAAUUCUGUUAGAAGUAAGCAUAAAUGAUGAUUUUAGGUAAUUUUUUUUGGUAAUACAACUUCCCAUCAAAAUGUAUUCAUUUCAUUCCCAGAUCUAGCUGUAAACUGGACGUGUUGUUAACAUUUUUUAAUGGCUGUUUGAAAGAUCUAAAGAUUUAGGUUGGUGAAAGAAUAUUAAUUUAUGAAUGCAGUUAGACAACUGCCUGGUAUUAACAUCAAGGAUGUGUUUAAUAUCCCACCCCCCUCUUCUAAAAUGUCAGGAUUGACCACUGUCUUUUAAUGUUCAACAGGGGGAUGAAGUUGGAAUUCAGGCUUCAGCUUACUUUUGUGGAGUUGUAUUUGUUACUUAAUUUUCUCUGUUAGUAGAGUUCACUUUCAGUUAUGUUUGUGAUUUGAUUUGAUUGAUUGUACUGUUGAUCCUGCAGCAAUAGCCAGCAUAUUAUUUUUAAGGGAGACACGUGUGCUGUUUGAGAGACCUUCAUUUGGCAGUUGCUUUACAGCCUUGUUCAGUGGUGCAAUAGUUGUGUUCUAUCUUUAUAGGAUCACACUGAGUGGUGGACAGACAAAUGCAACAGACUACCGCGGGACUGAAUAAUAAGGCUCUUAUGUAUCACAACUUUUACAAAAUGUAAUUUUCCAUGUUAUAAAUGAGGGAAUGGAUUAUGCCUCUGUCUAGCAAGCACAACCAUCCUGGUGGAAGAAGGCACGGCAAUCUCUCCUAUGUUCCAGGUAGUAGAUGUAUUGGUCUAGACUUUGAGAUUCAUACUUCCGAAGCAAAACUUGCCUGGCAAUAUUGGAGAGUGGAUAAUGAGAUUGUAUUUUCAGUUUGUUUGUUUUUUAGUCAGUUAUGAAAUAAUUCUGCCACAACCUUCAAUGUGGGAAAUUCAACUGUUUUUACAUGCUUGUAAAAUGUCAAUGCUUUAGGAUUCCCUUGGUUUAUUGGAUGUAAAUUUGUCCAGAUUUGAACUGAAGUGACGCAUCUAGCUGUGUGGGUUGCAAGGUAUUCGAUCAGAUCAGAUUUAAGACCAUCCUUCUUCUUCCUGUUCAAACUUUUGCAGACUAAUCAAAUUUGAUCGACUGGAGAAGUCGUUAUUGUUGA